RNAcentral lists this ribosomal RNA (373 nucleotides) under uncultured bacterium. RNAcentral's name for it is "bacterial SSU rRNA". It matches the Rfam family "Bacterial small subunit ribosomal RNA", at positions 527 to 896 of the family's 1533-position model. The record is from RNAcentral.
GGGGGGAGCAAGCGUUGUUCGGAUUUACUGGGCGUAAAGGGCGCGUAGGCGGCCACCGCAAGUCAAUUGUGAAAUCUCCGGGCUUAACUCGGAAAGGUCAACUGAUACUGCGGGGCUAGAGUGCGGAAGGGGCAACUGGAAUUCUUGGUGUAGCGGUGAAAUGCGUAGAUAUCAAGAGGAACACCUGCGGCGAAGGCGGGUUGCUGGGCCGACACUGACGCUGAGGCGCGAAAGCUAGGGGAGCGAACGGGAUUAGAUACCCCGGUAGUCCUAGCCUUAAACGAUGAAUGCUUGGUGUCUGGGGUUAUAUAGUCCCCGGGUGCCGUCGCUAACGCUUUAAGCAUUCCGCCUGGGGAGUACGGUCGCAAGACUG